GUUUUGCGAGUUGAGAUUUGCUUUCCAUCCAGUUAAUUAUUGAUACAUCAUUUUUUAAUUAACAUGUCAUCUCAAAUUUACUUUCAUUAACUUCAUCACUAAUCUAUCAAAUUGAUUACAUGUUAACUUAAAUGAUGUGUCAAUAAUAAAUUAGGUGGACGGCAGAUCUCAACUCAUUUCGAGGGGCAUUCAAAUGCCGUAGCAUGGCAGGAACAGAUUGCCCUGCAUACAAGGAAAUGGUUCGGGGAAACUGACCUGAGUGCAAGGCUGCACAUACAGUUUAGGUCCAAAUCAUGAAGAACGAAGUGUUCUUCAGUCAUAUAAUGGUCAACAUUCUUUGGAACUCCAGUAAAAGUCUAAUCAGCUAUAGGGUUGAUAAAAUUAAUUGAUAGUAUCAUGAAGAGAUACUGUGUUCAAGUAUAUAGUUCAAAAAAAGCAGGACCCUGUUCUGACUGCCGGGCCAAUCAAAAAAUCCAACAUAUGAAGCAUGAGAG
This 494-nucleotide long non-coding RNA is filed under the name Olea europaea subsp. europaea. Lineage: Eukaryota; Viridiplantae; Streptophyta; Magnoliopsida; Lamiales; Oleaceae. The record is from RNAcentral.